CCUAGAGUUGUAGGCUUUGCCUGCUAUCUCUUACCCAUGUCUUUUGAGUACCUUACGUUUCCUCGGUGGGUUCGCCCACCGAUAUUGGACAAACUUAAACCCUUUGCAGUUGAAAUCAGCGUCUGAAAAAACUUAAUAGUUA
Molecule: unclassified non-coding RNA, 142 nt
Filed under: soil metagenome
Description: partial internal transcribed spacer 1
Source: RNAcentral